This 301-nucleotide ribosomal RNA is filed under the name uncultured bacterium. RNAcentral describes it as "partial 16S ribosomal RNA". It matches the Rfam family "Bacterial small subunit ribosomal RNA", at positions 509 to 807 of the family's 1533-position model. The record is from RNAcentral.
CAGUAGCCGCGGGAAUACGGAGGGAGCUAGCGUUGUUCGGAAUUACUGGGCGUAAAGCGCACGUAGGCGGCUACUCAAGUCGGGGGUGAAAGCCCGGGGCUCAACCCCGGAACUGCCCUCGAAACUAGGUAGCUAGAAUCUUGGAGAGGUCAGUGGAAUUCCGAGUGUAGAGGUGAAAUUCGUAGAUAUUCGGAAGAACACCAGUGGCGAAGGCGACUGACUGGACAAGUAUUGACGCUGAGGUGCGAAAGCGUGGGGAGCAAACAGGAUUAGAUACCCCCGUAGUCCCUGUCUCUUAUAC